RNAcentral lists this ribosomal RNA (216 nucleotides) under uncultured bacterium. RNAcentral's name for it is "partial 16S ribosomal RNA". It matches the Rfam family "Bacterial small subunit ribosomal RNA", at positions 794 to 1007 of the family's 1533-position model. The record is from RNAcentral.
UCCACGCCCUAAACGAUGAAUACUAGAUAUCGGCGGUAACCAAUCCGUCGGUGUCACAGCUAACGCGUUAAGUAUUCCGCCUGGGGACUACGACCGCAAGGUUAAAACUCAAAGGAAUUGACGGGGACCCGCACAAGCGGUGGAGCAUGUGGUUCAAUUCGAUGCAACGCGAAGAACCUUACCUGGACUUGACAUGCUAGUGCUACCGGUGGAAAC